CACGAAAAAAAAAAAAAGCCAAGAAAACUCACCACAACUCCUGUAGCGCCCAGAGGAAACCCGUGAAGGAACUAAGCGCGGGGUGGUGGUGGGGAUCUGCUGGGUGAUAGCGGAGGAAGAGGGAAGCACAACCUGGGACACACUGCUGCCAACACUUCGCGAUCAGUUUUCUUCUUCUACCAAACCCAGAAAAAAAAAGAAGGCGCCCGCUCCAGGAAAGCUGUACUUCUCCCGUGUGUUUGGUCUGGACAGAGGUGGGGGUUCCGGCUCGGAUGAUAAACCCCACAGUUUAUCGGCUGUUUCCGGGCGCGUCGGCUCGCUCUCCUAGUCCGCCAUGUUGUGUGUCUGUCUGCAUAGGAAGAAUGGGAAGCAGCAGAAAAUUCCCAGGCCAGGCCCCGGCUCUCCUCCACUGGGUUUCUGCGCGGCCGACAGCGACCCCUGCUGGCAGAGCUGAAAGUCUGCACUGCAGCCGAACACUCAGGGCCACGGGCCAAGAAAAAACAUUUUUAUUUUUAGUGUUUUGCAGAUAUGAAUAAGCGUGGGGGAAAYAAAUGAAGUAUGUAAACAAACAAAAGAAACAAAUUAAACCAYAUAAAACAAUUUGUGUUUGCAGAUCUUUCCCCCAAUUUUAUUUAAAACAUAUAGUGCAUCACAUCAGUGUGUGCAGUCAAUAUUGCAAUAAAUAAACAAAUAAACAAAUAAAUAAAUAAAUAAAUAAAUAAAAGCUGGGAAUGCAAUAAUUCAUAGAUCGUUAUAGUUCAAGUAGCAUGCAUUCUCGUUCUACAUGUUAAAGUGCCUGCGAUAUAAUUUUUU
This is a long non-coding RNA of Austrofundulus limnaeus, 813 nucleotides long. RefSeq lists it as uncharacterized. The transcript has 2 exons. The record is from RefSeq and is a predicted model, not a curated record. Lineage: Eukaryota; Metazoa; Chordata; Actinopteri; Cyprinodontiformes; Rivulidae.